RNAcentral lists this ribosomal RNA (320 nucleotides) under uncultured soil bacterium. Its description in RNAcentral is "bacterial SSU rRNA". It matches the Rfam family "Bacterial small subunit ribosomal RNA", at positions 26 to 346 of the family's 1533-position model. The record is from RNAcentral.
AGAUUGAACGCUGGCGGCAGGCCUAACACAUGCAAGUCGAGCGGCAGCACGGGUACUUGUAUCUGGUGGCGAGCGGCGGACGGGUGAGUAAUGCCUAGGAAUCUGCCUGGUAGUGGGGGAUAACGCUCGGAAACGGACGCUAAUACCGCAUACGUCCUACGGGGAGAAAGCGGGGGACCUUCGGGCCUCGCGCCAUUAGAUGAGCCUAGGUCGGAUUAGCUAGUUGGUGAGGUAAUGGCUCACCAAGGCGACGAUCCGUAACUGGUCUGAGAGGAUGAUCAGUCACACUGGAACUGAGACACGGUCAGACUCCCACGGGA